Molecule: long non-coding RNA, 643 nt
Organism: Oncorhynchus kisutch (coho salmon)
Lineage: Eukaryota; Metazoa; Chordata; Actinopteri; Salmoniformes; Salmonidae
Exons: 3
Source: RefSeq, a predicted model, not a curated record
UUGAUUUGUCCAAAGCACUUGAACUAAUGCUGCUCGUAAUCUCACACAUCACGUUGUGUCAAAUGAAAUCUACGAUACCAUUUAUUUUUACGUCAGAGCCGCCGGAAAACGUGUGGCGAAACAGCAUUUUGCCUGAGUACUUUUCAAAGUCUGGUAAAAGCGUUUUCCAGACAUAUUCUUAGUUCAAGUCAUAGAAAUCAUAGAAAAAUGUUUAGCAUCAGAAAAGAAAGCAGGUGUUAUUUGUUGGACAAGUUGACAUAGUACCUUCCCCAAUUUCAGCCCAUUUGUUUUAUAUAGUGAAUACAACCCUGUCCACGGGAUUUCACACAUUAAUCCCCAUGCUCGAUGUAACAGGUGGAUUCACUUGUCAGUCACAGGGGUCUCUUAGCUACAGUGCCUUAUCAACCACAGCUGUCAACAACUACAUUUGCACCAGCUCCUCUCCUGCCUGCCUGGGUGCCUGCCUCAUGAUAGAGCGAAAACAAAUUUUCAUGGAAAACAAGAUCAUUCCUAAGAGAGAAGUGGUGUAAUAUCUCCAGAUGGGUGUGUGGUACCUUGCCAACAAGAUGUUACUUCUUGUGGGGUCUUUGCCUUGAAAAACAGGGGUGAAAACAGACUGCUGCAACAUCAUUGGCUGAAUGUG